Molecule: ribosomal RNA, 351 nt
Filed under: uncultured eukaryote
Lineage: Eukaryota
Description: partial 18S ribosomal RNA
Rfam family: Eukaryotic small subunit ribosomal RNA
Source: RNAcentral
CCCUUAGAUGUUCUGGGCCGCACGCGCGCUACAAUGAAACGUUCAACAAGUUUUCUGUGGCCAGAGAUGGCUCCGGAUCUGCUUCGUCGAAAGGCGUGGCGAAUCUUUUAAACGCGUUUCGUGCUGGGGCUUGACAUUUGCAAUUAUUUGUCAUAAACGAGGAAUUCCUAGUAAACGCGACUCAUCAGGUCGCAUUGAUUACGUCCCUGCCCUUUGUACACACCGCCCGUCGCUCCUACCGAUUGAGUGGUCCGGUGAGGCUUUGGGAUCUGAGCGGAAAGAGCGUUUCGCUGUUUCUGCUCGGAAAACUCAGUCGAACCUUAUCAUUUAGAGGAAGGAGAAGUCGUAACA